Molecule: ribosomal RNA, 421 nt
Filed under: uncultured eukaryote
Lineage: Eukaryota
Description: bacterial SSU rRNA
Rfam family: Eukaryotic small subunit ribosomal RNA
Source: RNAcentral
CCAGACACAACGAGGAUUGACAGAUUGAUAGCUCUUUCUUGAUUUUGUGGAAGCCGGUGCAUGGCCGUUUUAGUUGGUGGAGUGAUUUGUCUGGUUUAGUCCGAUAACGAACGAGACCUUCUUCUAUUAAAUAGGUGAGCUAGCACGGGGGUUCAUGGGGGCGUUGGGGCAACCUGGCGUCUUCUGGGGCUCCCAUUAGUUGCUGGCAAUAUAAACUUCUUAGAGAGACUGUUGGCGUCUUUAAAAGCCAAAGGAAGAUUGAGGCAAAAACAGGUCUGUGAUGCCGCUCGAUGUCUGGGGCUGCACGCGCGUUACACUGAAGUGUUCAGCGAGUAUUAUAUCAAGGCCGAAGGGCCUAAGAGAACCUUUUAAAGCAUUUCGUGAUGGGGAUUGUAUAUUGAAACUAUUACACAUAAACGAG